This 253-nucleotide ribosomal RNA is filed under the name uncultured bacterium. RNAcentral describes it as "partial 16S ribosomal RNA". It matches the Rfam family "Bacterial small subunit ribosomal RNA", at positions 524 to 776 of the family's 1533-position model. The record is from RNAcentral.
GACGGAGGAUGCAAGCGUUAUCCGGGAUGAUUGGGCGUAAAGCGUCCGCAGGUGGCAGUUCAAGUCUGCUGUCAAAGACCGGGGCUUAACUUCGGAAAGGCAGUGGAAACUGAACAGCUAGAGUAUGGUAGGGGCAGAGGGAAUUCCUGGUGUAGCGGUGAAAUGCGUAGAGAUCAGGAAGAACAUCGGUGGCGAAGGCGCUCUGCUGGACCAUAACUGACACUCAGGGACGAAAGCUAGGGGAGCGAAUGGG